AAACUAACAAGGAUUCCCCUAGUAACUGCGAGUGAAGCGGGAAAAGCUCAAAUUUAAAAUCUGGCGGUCUCCGGCCGUCCGAGUUGUAAUUUAGAGAAGCGUUAUCCGUGCUGGACCGUGUAUAAGUCUCCUGGAAUGGAGCGUCAUAGAGGGUGAGAAUCCCGUCUUUGACACGGACUACCAGUGCAUUGUGAUGCGCUCUCGACGAGUCGAGUUGUUUGGGAAUGCAGCUCAAAAUGGGUGGUAAAUGCCAUCUAAAGCUAAAUAUUGGCGAGAGACCGAUAGCGAACAAGUACCGUGAGGGAAAGAUGAAAAGAACUUUGGAAAGAGAGUUAAACAGUACGUGAAAUUGUCGAAAGGGAAACGGUUGCAGUAAGUCGCGUCCGCCGGGGAUCAACCUUGCUUUUGCUUGGCGUAUUUCCCGGUGGAUGGGUCAGCAUCAGUUUUGACCGCAGUUGAAAGGCUGGAGGAAUGUGGCACCUUCGGGUGUGUUAUAGCCUCCUGUCAUAUGCUGCGGUUGGGACUGAGGAACUCAGCACGCCGCAAGGCCGGGAUUCGUCCACGUUCGUGCUUAGGAUGCUGGCAUAAUGUCUGUAACCGAC
This 602-nucleotide ribosomal RNA is filed under the name Schizophyllum sp. P6. RNAcentral's name for it is "eukaryotic LSU rRNA". It matches the Rfam family "Eukaryotic large subunit ribosomal RNA", at positions 62 to 648 of the family's 3401-position model. Lineage: Eukaryota; Fungi; Basidiomycota; Agaricomycetes; Agaricales; Schizophyllaceae. The record is from RNAcentral.